RNAcentral lists this long non-coding RNA (2027 nucleotides) under Vitis vinifera (wine grape). RNAcentral's name for it is "long non-coding RNA (VVIN_LNC003721)". The record is from RNAcentral. Lineage: Eukaryota; Viridiplantae; Streptophyta; Magnoliopsida; Vitales; Vitaceae.
GUUUGCCGCUAAGAGCGCUGAGGAGAGAUGGGAAGAAGAUGGUGAAGCCACCGAAGGCGUUGAAGCCGAGGACGAAGAGGAGGUUGUGGAUGGUUUCUUCUUUGGAGAGGUUGAACUCGGUUUCGCCUCUUUGAAGCACGGCUUGGCCGUGUUGUUCGACGAAGUCGUAGAGUUUUCUGUAGUCUCCUUUGACGAGGAAGAAUGGGUAAGCGAAAGAGUGGAGGAAGAUCUCUUCGAGUGGUUGCAGGAAGUUGACGCUGAUGGUGGGGAGGAGCUGGAGGAAAACCCAUUUGUCGAGCAUGACGUAGCCAGACUCCGCAAUUUCCGGCGACACAGCGGGAUCCGCGCCAACAAGGCAUUUAGUUAGGAAAUGGAAGAUGAAGCGCUGGAGAGGCUUGAUGUAACUGGCGCUGUUGCUCUUGGCGACGCCGGCGUCGAUGGUGUCCCACAUGGUGUCCAGGCUGGCCACGACCUCGCUUGCCCAGAUGCUGGAACUCCGUUUCAGAAUGUCCAUGGCAAAGCUCUUUACCUGCCGGAGAUUCCAUAAUUGUUGAUGUGAUUUUUCUACAAUUUUUAUUGAUUUAUUUUAAAGGGUAAUUCAUGAAAUUUAAUCUAUGAAUGCAAGACAUAGAAUAAGAUAAAAUUUGUUGCCCCUAUCCCAUGGUCAUGGUGAUGAGUUGCGAGAUAUUUUUGACUUCGAGAUUGUGGGGAACGCAACGUUCUAUUUACAGAGUGUCCUCUAGACCACUCUUGGGCCUAUAUUCGACCUAUAUUCGAAAACGUUAAAUGAAAAUUAUUAUAUUUUUAUUAAGAAAUAAAACAAAAAAAUCCACUUGUGAUUUGUUUUUAAUAUUUAAAAAAUAUUAAAUAUUUAUAAUCAAGAAAAAUAAAAAUAAAAAAUUAGAAAAGCACAUCCUAGUCCCUUAAUAAUUUAAUAUAUAUAUUAAAAAAUUAUUUAAAAUCAAUUCAUUAUUUUAUAUACUACUCCGUUUCAUUGAUUUUAUGUUUUCUGUAAAAAUAAAAUGAUUUGAAAAUUUGUAAGUUAUAGAAAGACAAUAAAAUAAUUUUUUUUAGUAUUUUUUUUAUUAUGUUUAGUUUUUAAAAAAUUUGAAAGAAAAUACGAAAUAAAGAAAUUAAAGAAAAAAAUUAAAAAAAUAUGAAAUAAAUUUAAAUUUAAUAAAUUAUUUUAUUCUAUUUAUUUUUUUUAUAUUAUAACAAGAUUAAAUAAUCUUAAAAUAAAAAAAAAUUAAAUUUAUUUUAUUUUAUAUUUUUUUAAAUAAAACCAAAUCUGACCAACCAUCCAAACAUAUUUAAUAUUUUUUGAAAUCAAAUAUAAGAUAAAAAUAAAAAAAUAAAAAAAUAAAAUAUAUUUAAAAUUAAUCAAUUAUUUUUAUAUAUUAUAUGAAAAAAAAUUCCCACAAAAACCUUAUAAAUGUUCGUUUUCCAUCGCAACUACUGUUUCAACAUUAGUGGUUUAGAUUUUUCAACACACAAAUUUAUAAAUAUUUCUUCCUCCAUAAAUGAAGGUACGACUAUCAGAUCUAAAGCAGUGUCACUCGACAUAGAUAUGCUGACUCACUGAGUCGAUGACUGAACUGGACUCAGUGAGUUUGGAAGAUCAGAACGAGGCAACGGAAUCUUACCCUGGCGUGUUGGGUCUCGGCGGUGUCGAGAUAGGCACAGACUCGAAUGUCGCCGGUGUACUUGACGCUGGGCAUGAAGUCGCCGACGAGGACAUUCUUCUUCUCGACAACAUCCAUAUCAAAGAGAAAGGAGAAGGAUUUGCAAUCGAGGACGGCGAUUACGUUAGGAUUGACACCGACGAAGAAGGGGAACGACGGAGGGACGUUGGUACGGAACACGGUGCUCUUGUACUUGUCGAUCCUCUUCCGGAAGAACGUCUCCGGGCCCUGGAACCAGAAGUAGUCGAGGCGGUCGGCGAUCGGGCCGAGCACAGGCCAGCCGUAGCUGCCAGGAAUCGCGCGAACGGGGGAGGACGAGGGAGGAGACGGUGGAGUUAGAGACGA